This is a long non-coding RNA of Daucus carota subsp. sativus, 1123 nucleotides long. RefSeq lists it as uncharacterized. NCBI's taxonomy places the organism in Eukaryota, Viridiplantae, Streptophyta, Magnoliopsida, Apiales, Apiaceae. The record is from RefSeq and is a predicted model, not a curated record. The transcript is spliced from 7 exons.
UCAUCUCAACAAAGAAAACUCUCUCUCUCUCUCUCUCACUAAUCUCGCACCUCAUUCACUCGUCACUCUCAGCCGGAUCUCGCGGUCGGACUUCAAUUCAAAACUCUCAACUGGACUUUAAUGCAAUCGGAGAGAAAGGGCUUCAAUUAGGGUUUGAGAAAAAGGGGCUCGCUUGUUCAAUUAAUCUAGGGAUCCAAGAAUAGGGCUUCGAUUUAAGUCGCAAUAUAGAGUCUCAAGCUCAUACUCGGUGGACAUGGGAAUUGGAAUAUUUGGUUUUAGUUUGAUUUUGGGAAAUUUUAGUUUUAGCAAUCUGGGAGCUUUGAUUGGAGGUUGUAUUCGACUCUUUUUAGUUCUUGUUUCGGUUUUGGGGUUUGAUGCUGGUUCAAGUUUGGGUUCGAGCUUGGAGGAGGGCAUUUAUCUAUCAAUUUAGCUAGAUCCUUGCAGGAGCUAGGAGACAAAUUUGAGGAUUUCUAUCCACGUGAACACAAUGGUGCUGAAGCUGAUUAUCAUGGAGAGCGCCAGUGAAAAGGAUGAGUCCAGUAACAAAAUGCCCAAUUUUGUGUAUAUUUCAAGAGAAAAGAAGACUACAGCCCACAACUACAAGGCUGGUGUGCUCAACGUUCUGGAAACUGGUCAGUGCAGUUUUGAUGGGCUCCUGUUUUAAUUGGAUUUUCAGUUUUGGACAUCCACAGUAAAGGCACGUGGCUCAUUUCGGGUCUUCUUCUAAUGCGCAAUUUGAGCCUCUAUUUAUAGCGAGACAGCCACAUCAAAAGCAGCAACAGGUACACGGGAUGGGGACACCUGUCCAGAACACACUGCAAUCUUCUUACAUUGAGGAAGCAAGCUCGAAUUUCAAUUUCCAAGUAUAGUUAGAUUUUAUAUUGCACCUGGCGAGUAAUUAACUUAUAAUCUUGAUGUAAUACCUAAGUUAGUUUUAGUUUUAUGCACUAGUACUUAUAUUGGUAUGGUUGCUAGUUGGUUGGCUUGGACCUCUGUUUUUUGUAUUUGGAUUGUGUUUGUCGCUGAAUAUUGGUUGGUAAAUUUGAAAUGGGAAGUGCUAUUGUCUUUUUUUUUCCUGUAAAGUGUUGGCAAAGAGUUUUUGUAAAGUGUAGGUAUUAUUGUA